UGUGAUUCAGGAAUUAGGUCUAACACGUAGGGGGGGUUGUGAAAAGGUUUUGGAAAAAUUAAAGAACUCAAUAAAGACACAGAUGCAAACAAACUAAUUUAAGCUAGCAUGGUAAUUAAACUAACACUAUUAAAAACCUUAGACAACAUUCAAACAUCAAACACUGUUACAAACAAAUUAACAAACACAGUUAAAAUUAUUAAAAGACAACACUAAAUAAAAGAGAUUAAAAAAAACAAUUAAACGUGUAAUGUAAAACAUUCUUAAGACAAAAGAAAAAUAAAUAAAUAAAAAAAAAAUAAAAUUGCUUCUACCAAAUUCACGUGACCACAUGCAUCUACCAAAAGGACAUUGAAAUCAUAAAUGGUUCUAAAAUAUAAUUCCUUAACCGUGAGAUCCUUGAACUCCAACUUCCAACACGUCAUUCCUCAAGACAAUUAAGAUAAAUGUCCUAACACAAAAAAAAAUAUGCUGCACCAUUUCUCAAAAGCAAUCAACUCCCAACAAAAGUAAAUUAAAUGCAUAUCUCCAUCACGUGAAAAGUGGCAGCACCCAUUGC
Molecule: long non-coding RNA, 559 nt
Filed under: Vigna radiata
Lineage: Eukaryota; Viridiplantae; Streptophyta; Magnoliopsida; Fabales; Fabaceae
Description: long non-coding RNA (VRAD_LNC017847)
Source: RNAcentral